CCUUAGCUCAGUUGGUUAGAGCACCUGACUCAUAAUCAGGUGGUCGCUGGUUCGAGCCCAGCAGG
This 65-nucleotide transfer RNA is filed under the name uncultured Tunicatimonas sp. It matches the Rfam family "tRNA", at positions 5 to 66 of the family's 71-position model. Rfam says of the family: Transfer RNA (tRNA) molecules are approximately 80 nucleotides in length. Their secondary structure includes four short double-helical elements and three loops (D, anti-codon, and T loops). RNAcentral also lists the same sequence under 1 other name. The record is from RNAcentral. Lineage: Bacteria; Pseudomonadati; Bacteroidota; Cytophagia; Cytophagales; Catalimonadaceae.